This is a long non-coding RNA of Hemicordylus capensis (graceful crag lizard), 7737 nucleotides long. RefSeq lists it as uncharacterized. The record is from RefSeq and is a predicted model, not a curated record. The transcript is spliced from 5 exons. NCBI's taxonomy places the organism in Eukaryota, Metazoa, Chordata, Lepidosauria, Squamata, Cordylidae.
UCGAGUAGGCCCCAAGCAAGGAAGGAGGAAGCAGGCAGCAGACCCUCUGCCCAGACCAGACCAUCCAGAACAGCUAUUGCUAGGAUAACUUUCAAAUCAAUAUGUAAUGGACCCUUUGAAACAUCUUCAAGCUAAGUACAUUAUAUUACAUAUCGCCUAUAACAGUGAACCACACAGAGAUUCAUUUUCAAGUAAUGUAAUCUAAAACUUGUAAAACCUCUAAAGAGUUUUCAGUGAUGCUUUUUACUUAAAUUGUAUGGAUAAAUUCUCAUGGAGACUUCAGUCAUUCAGAAACUACAAUUAUCUAAUGCAGGUUAGUUCUGCUUAAACACUAAAUCAGGGGUGGGGAACCUUGGCCCUCCAGCUGUUUUUGAACUACAAUUCCCACCAUCCCCAGCUGUGGCUGGGGAUGAUGUGAGUUGUAGUUCAAAAACAGUUCCCCACCCCUGCACUAAAUGGAGGAUCUAAGAUAAGAGCAACACAUUGGUGGCUGUGUUGAUAAUGAUAUGGAGAACAAGAAAGCAUCAGAUUGAGAUGAAUAUAUAACCUAAACUUUUCUCCUGUGGAAUGUUUCCCCAUCACACAGGCAGAUUUUAGAUACCAGAUUCUGGGAGCAUAAAGGGAGAUGGCGGAUGCCUUCAUGUCGUUGAGACAUAUGGCUGGCCUCUGUGGGAAAUGAGAUAGAAUAACAGAAGCAUCCCAAACUGUGAUCUGCCAGCUGUUGUUGGACUACAACUGCCUUUAUCCCCAAUCACAAUGGUCAGUAGCCAGGGAUGAUGGGAGUUGUAGGUCAACAUCUGCAGGAGAGUCACAGUUUGAUACCCCUGGUAAAUCAACCCUGGACUGAUGCAAAAGGCUGUUGUAUCCAUGUUCUUAACUGUGCCCUGACAGGAAAAAUAGAUGGCAGUUUUAUUUCAACUUAAUGUUACAGUAUCCUAGUAUUUUGACUUCCUGGCCCCUUAAGAGGGGAAGAAAUUUGACCUAGAGGUUCUAUUAAAACUAGCACAAAAUCCCAAGCCUGGGAGCUCAUAUCAUCAGCUUCUCAGGGCUAUGGUUAUUUAUUUAUUUAUUUAUUUAUUUGAGCUUUAUUUCUUUAUUAUUUAUAUAAAAAUCUAUGUGCUCCAAGGGGAAAGCAAGAAAGGAAAAACACAGGAAACUCACUCCAUCAGGUGCUGAAGGGACCACCAAUCAUCUGUGUGAAUGCUGCUGUGGGAGGGGGGUUGCUUCUUCCCCUCCCUUCCUUUCCCUUCCCCUUCCCCUGGUAUUUUAAAUUGUAAAUUGUGUUGCGUUCAGGCACAGUGAAUAAACUGUGAACUGUUCCCUUAAAUACAGCCCCGAUGCGAGACUGUCUGGCCACAUUUGCACGUAUCAUGAAACUAGAGUCCAUUCACCUCCAGUUUCAGGAGCUGUACAUCCAAAUGCAAGCAACCAAAGUUAAGUGAGAAAAUGGACCUGUGGUCUCCCUCUCCAGACUCCAAUCUGUACCUUCAGUUCUGAGUGGAGUUUCAUUUCCUUGAAUUCCAGUUCUGUGGUGCCAGCGUUACGUCUCAAUGCUGGCACCGCAGUUUCCCCCUCAUGCAACCAGAGUUGAAGGAGGAAGCUCCUCCCUCUCUCUGGAUGCUAAUAGCUGCCAGAAUUGUCCUUCAUUUAAAAAGGAAGACCCCACAGCCAGUUCCCCCUCUUCUCUGCAGUCAGCAAGACUGCAGCAAGGGAACUCUCCUGUAUGUCUAAAGCGGAUGAGAGAGCAGGAGGAGGGGAUGCGGAACCGUGGGUCCAUUGGACUCAUGGUUACAUCUGAAGAUGGCCAAUAUCUUAUCCUGGAGUAAGAGAAACUCUGCUACAGGCCUGUGUAGCUCUGCCUAGAAGCUGUAUAGAGCCACGUAGAAUAAACUGGUUACAUGACCAGCACUCUUGUGGAGCCCGUAUCAGUCAGCAAGGUUGAACAGUUAACACAAAAACCGGCUUGAGUAUUUUAACAUAGAUAGAUAGACACACACACACACACACGAUAUUGACAAUAAGUCAGGUAAAGGUAAAAUGUGCCGUCGAGUCAGUGUCGACUCCUGGCAACCACAGAGCACUGUGGUUGUCUUUGGUAGAAAAGAGGAGAGGUUUACCGUUGCCUGCACAGUGUGCGAUGGUGCCUUUCAGCAUCUUCCUAUAUUGCUGCUGUCCAAUAUAGGUGUUUCCCAUAUUCUGGGAAACAUACCAGCAGGGAUUCAAACCAGCAACCUCUGGCUUGCUAGUCAAGUCAUUUCCCCGGAGCUAACAAGGUAAUAUUACAAACAAACUGCCUAGGACUAGGACAAGGCCUGAUAUCACUAGUCAUUUUAGCUUUUGUCUGUGAUUGACUUCUGCUGACCACACCUAAUCAUUAGUGCCAUCUCCAGGGAGUGGAAGGACCCUUGGGUCAGGCUGCCUGAGUGGGCUCCCUUCAAAUAUCUGUGAGCCAGCCCAUCCCUCCCACAGCACCAGCUGAGGGCAGGAAACAGACAGGUAAGUGGCGGCGGCAGCCACCAUUGCUGACCUUCCUCCUUGACAUCACCACUUUGCCUGUCACCAUCCCAGAGUAAAGAUAAAACUCUUAAAGAAAGGGCAAGCAGAUGGCAGUGACAAGGAGAAGAAAGCCACAGAGAGCUCCCGUCAGCUACGUUGAUUACUGCCUGCUAAUUGUCUUGGGUUGUUUUAAGUAUCACCAUUGAAUGCUACUGAGCUCAAUGUCUUUUAAAUAAGCAAAAAGCAGCUGUAGAAGUAUUAACAUAAUUCCCAAGCUCAUUCUGGAUGUUCAAAUUAUGUUUGGCAAACAAGACGGCUAAUCAACUGUGCUGCAUUAGGUAGGGUUGGCCCCAAGGUGCACGGAGGCACGUGGUCCAACCCUCUCAUGGUACUAAAAGCAUCUCAGACUGAAUGUGAGAGGAUGUGUGUUUGAACGUAUCCCCACAUCAAAAGGACCCUACAUGCAGAAGCCUCACACAUCAUAGGGAAGGUAUCUUAGGUGUUUUCACUGAGGUGGUAAACUUGUGAUGGGUCUAUAUAUCACUUUGGACUACUGGUGAAGACUCCUAGGAUUAAAUGUACCGCCAUAAGAACAGGACCAUGCUCAUACUGAGGCAAACUGAAGUGGUCACCUCAGACAGCCAAUUAUCAGGAAGCAGAGAGUGGCAGCUGCCACCCUCUGCAUGCUACUGUCACCUCAUCUGCCCUUCUGGCCCACCAGGAAGGGCAGAUGAGGAGUUCAGCAGCUUGCUUGGCAGCAGUGCACAAAAAGCUACUCAGUGUGCUUCCUUGGUGCACAGUAUUUGAAAAGGGGGAGAGCAGAGGAGAGGAGAGGAGAGGAGAGGGACUUUUGCUGAAAAGCAGUAUAUAAAUAUUCAUAGUAGUAAAUAUUCAUAGUAGUAGUAGAGGAGGGUGGGGUCUAGGUGUUUUAGCUCAGCAUUCUCUUCUCCUCCACGCUUCCUGUUCUGCUCCAUCCUCCUGCCAUUCCUUUCAAAUACAGCACACUGAAGAGGAGAAUGGAGUGGCUCUUCAUUUGCUUCCACCGAGCCAGGCAGGGGUGGGCAGUGGAAGCUGAGCAUAGAGGCAGGGCUGGCAGACAUGGGUGAGGGAAGCAUUUGAUGCCCCAACUCUAUCAUCCAAAGGUCUUGGGCUGCCCUGCAUAACCUUACACAAGAAAACUCUCGUAUCAGUGAGAAGACUAGGCUAGAACCGUACUUCCUGACAGACUUCUUGUCAAUCGGUAGGGAUUUUUCCCCCCAAUUUUUUUUCCAAAUUCAAUUUUUAUUAAUUUUAACAAUAGUAAUAUUAUCAUUCAUUACAAAUACAUACAAAAAAGGUGGACUUCCCGCUCACAUUUCUUCGUGAAUCAUCAACUAUAAAAUUUACCCUUACGGCUUCCAAUCUUCUUUAAAACAUUCCAAGUUUUGAUCUCUUAAUAGUGCUGUGAGUUUUGUCAUCUCUGCAAAUUCCAAAAUUUUUAUCAGCCAGUCUUCUUUUGAAGGCUGUUCACUGGUCUUCCAUUUCUGUGCAUAUAUAAUUCUAGCCGCCGUAGAGGCAUACAUAAAAAAUGUUAAAUUAGUUGUAGAAAUUGCACCUUGUGUUACUCCCAGCAGGAAGGAUUCUGGCUUCUUAGGAAAUUUUCUUUAAUUCAUUAUAUAUCACAUCCCAAUAGGCUUUAGCCUUCCCACAGGUCUACCACAUAUGAAAAAAAUGUGCCUUCAAAGUGUCCACACUUCCAGCAUUUGUUUGAAACAUUUUUAUAAAUUAAUGCCAUUUUUUUUGGUGUCAGAUACCAUCUAUACAUCAUUUUAUAAUAAUUUUCUUUUAUAGCAUAACAUGCAGUAAAUUUUAAAUCAUUUUCCCAUAACUUUUCCCAGGCUGCCAUUUCUAUAUUACGCCCCACAUCUUGAGCCCACUUUAUCAUAGUCGAUUUAACCACUUCCUCUCUUGUCUCCUCCAAAAGCAACAGUUUAUACAUUUUAGAAACUAGUUUUUCAACAUUUUGACAUAAUUCCUUCUCAAAAUUUGAAAUCUGGUCCUCAAAUCCAACUUUAAGAUCUUUCUUAUACAUCUCAUUUAACUGAUGAUACUGAAACCAAUCUCUAACCAAAUCUUGUAUUUCAGUUAAACUUUUUAACUUUUUAACAAUCCUUUUCCUGAAAAUGUAACAAAUCCCUAUAGGUACCCCAACCCGUUUGCAUAUUUACUUCUUUACGUGAUAAGGCUUCAAUCGGAGAUAUCCAUAACGGAGUUUUAGGUUCAAACCAAUUUUUGUAUUUUAACCACACCCUCAUUAACCACACCUUCUCACAUAGUGGUGAUACAAAUGCCAUCCAAACCUUCUGUCAAAUCCUUCCAAAUCAAGAAUUCUAGGGUUUCUUAAUGUUAUCCAUUCUUUUAACCAUGUCAAACAAACAGCAUCAAAAUAUAACCUUAGGUCUGGCAAGGUAAGACCACCUCUUUCCUUUGCAUCUGUUAAAUUCUUAAAAUUAAUUCUUGGUCUUUCCCCCUGCCAAACAAACUUAGUUAUGUCCUUCUGCCAUUGCUUGAAACAAGUUAGAGUGUUAAUUAUGGGAAUAGUCUGAAAGAGAAACAACAUUUUAGGCAAGACAUUCAUUUUCACCACUGAAAUUCUUCCCAUUAAAGACAAAUUCAUUUUAGACCAUCUUUGUAGAUCAAUUUUCACUGAAUUCCAUAUUUUAACAUAGUUGUUUAUGAACAACAAGGAGUUGUUAUUUGAUAACCAGACCCCCAGAUAUUUAACUUUCUUCUCCACUUUCAACUCACUUAUUUCAGAGAAUCUGUCCUUGGUUUUCUGAUCCAUAUUUUUAGUUAAGACCUUGGUCUUGGUCUUAUUUAUAUAGAAUCCAGCCAGCUGACCAAAUUGUUGUAUUUUAUCCAAGAGUCUUUCAAUCUUGUCCAUUGGAUUCUCUAAAAACAGCACAACAUCAUCUGCAAAGGCUCUCAACUUGUAAUCCUGUUUCCCAAUUUUGGGACCAUGUAAUUUAUCAUCUUCUCUGAUAGUUCUACAAAGCACUUCUAGAACCAAUAUGAAAAGCAAUGGGAAAAGUGGACAUCCUUGUCUAGUCCCUUUUUGUAUUACACAGUCGUCUGAUAGCUCCCCAUUUACAAUAAUCUUAGCAUAUUGCUCCGAAUAAAUUGUCUUAAUUGCCCUAAUAAAAUUGUUGCCAGCAGUCAUUACCUCUACUAAUCUCCACAUAAAUUGCCACAAAAUAUUGUCAAAAGCUUUCUCUGCAUCCAGAAAAAUCAUCGCCAUCUGUUUAUCAUUAUGUUUUUCAUAGUACUCCAAUACAUUCAAGACUGUUCUGACAUUGUCUCUCAGUUGUCUCUUUGGCAAAAAUCCAGCUUGAUCUUCAUGAAUAAAAUGCCUUAAUAUAACCUUCAUUCUUCUUGCCAAAAUGGCAGCAAAAAGUUUGUAAUCAUUAUUUAAAAGUGAAAUUGGUCUAUAAUUUUUAACUGAUGUUAGGUCUUGAUCUGGUUUUGGGAUUACUGCAAUUUUUGCAUACUUCCACGAAUCCGGCAUAAUCCCUUUUUGUAGAAUAUCAUUCAUAGUCCAUUGAAGAGGUUGUAAGAUUUGAUCUUUAAAUGACUUAUAGUACAAAGCUGACAGUCCAUCAGGCCCUGGGGCCUUGUUGGGCUUAACUUGAUUUAUUGCUUCUGUUACUUUCCAUAAUUGUUAUCGGAGCAUUCAUAAUUUCUAUUUGUUCCUUAGUAAGUUUUGGAAUAUUUUUGGUCCUGAGAAACUGCUCAAUUUUUUAAUCUUCAACUAUUUUGCCUUUAUAUAAUUCUGAAUAAUAUUUUAAAAAUUCCGCUCUUAUUUCCUUUCCAUCAUAAGAGAUCCCAUUUUUUGUAAGUAUUUUGGAUAUAUAACUUUUCUUCUUCUCAGAUCUAAUUUUCCAAGCUAACAACUUGCCUGAUUUGUUUGCGAACUCGAAUGUCCUUUGCUUAACAUAUUUCAAAUUCCGUUCAAGUUCAUUUGCUAUCAACAUAGAAAGUUGUUGUUGCAGCAUUUUGAUAGCUUGAGUGACCGUCUUCUUAUCUUUAGCCCAUAAUAAUUCCCUUUCCUUUUUGGAGAUCUGCAUCAAUAAUAUCUCUUUUUUCAAUCCUCUUUGCUUUUUAAAGUAUGAAUUUUGCUGUAUAAAAAAACCUCUCAUAACCGCUUUACUCGCAUCCCAGACAAUUUUAUUGUCCAUUCCCUGGUUUAAAUUCAAUUCAAAAUAGUCCUUUAAUUUCUUUUUAGCUUUCUACACAACAUCUGGUAAUAGGUAGGGAUUUUUUAAUAUAGAGAAGCAUGACAUGAAUAUAGAGAAGCAUGAAUUCCCAGGGCAGUGUGCAACUACUAUUUGUGAGAGCUGUGAGAACACAAACAUGACAUCUACUAUGUGUGAGAACUAUGCCAGAGCAAGGCUGUUAAUGGAGACACUCAUUCUUGUUCCUCCAGCUUUUAUAGCCUACCUUUCCAUUCUUGAAAAAUGCCCAAGGUGGUUUACAACAAAACGUACUUUUGAAAAACAGUAUCUAAAAGCAAAAGAAUAUCCGAAACAAUCACAAUAAUACAAGCAGCUCUGCUUUCCCCAUGGAGUACAAAAAGUGUGUUGGCAAGGGCAAACAUGCAUUCCAGAGAUUUGGAGGAAGGAGGAGAAUUGAAAUACAAUAGGCAAUAAUCAUGCACCAAAGUCCUUGACUCCAUUAAGAAGUGUCCUUGGUCCUAAUCUAUGGAACAGUGAGCUUGAAAAGAAGCUGAAGCAAAUCUACCAGAUGAAGAGAGUGAAAGCUGAUCUGGAGGCUUUAAAAGAGAAAAGAGUCAUCAUCUGAAGAUGUGGAUAAGGUGGAAUGUAUUUAUGUUCGCACUCCCACCUGCCAGCCCUCCUGCCUGCCUCAGAGGAGAAAAGUCUCUCGGCCAUGACUGAGCUGUAAUAGUUCACAGCAUUCCUCUGGGAAGGAAUGAGGUAGUAUAUAACCCCUAUUCCUUAGACUCUACUUACCUUCCCCCCUCAUUUCUAUUAAAAUCCAAAUCUGUCCAUCUCUCUCUAUCUCUUGCCAGCCUUGAGUAAACUUAAUUCAGAAAAUCAAUCCAAAUUGCACCUCCUUUUGAGCUGUAACAUAGUCCUUUGUAACUUGUUGGUUUUGCUAGUUAAGUAUUGAUGCUCCUAACCAUUAUUUUCUCUUUCUGUACCCCUAAACUGUCAAAUAAAACCUCACCUUGUUUUUGAACUUUAA